GCCUCGUUAGCUCAGUUGGUAGAGCGUUAGACUUUUAAUCUAACGGUCAGGUGUUCGAGUCCCCUACGGGGCU
RNAcentral lists this transfer RNA (73 nucleotides) under Ancylostoma ceylanicum. It matches the Rfam family "tRNA". From Rfam's summary of the family: Transfer RNA (tRNA) molecules are approximately 80 nucleotides in length. Their secondary structure includes four short double-helical elements and three loops (D, anti-codon, and T loops). Further hydrogen bonds mediate the characteristic L-shaped molecular structure. tRNAs have two regions of fundamental functional importance: the anti-codon, which is responsible for specific mRNA codon recognition, and the 3' end, to which the tRNAs corresponding amino acid is attached (by aminoacyl-tRNA synthetases). tRNAs cope with the degeneracy of the genetic code in two manners: having more than one tRNA (with a specific anti-codon) for a particular amino acid; and 'wobble' base-pairing, i.e. permitting non-standard base-pairing at the 3rd anti-codon position. Lineage: Eukaryota; Metazoa; Nematoda; Chromadorea; Rhabditida; Ancylostomatidae. The record is from Rfam by way of RNAcentral.